UUGGCACAAAGAUGAGGAUAUGAAUAUUAUUGUUGCAAAAUCAUCAUUUCCAGAGUAAUCUCAAUGCUUUGAAGCAUACCCUUCUAUCACUUUCACGGUGUUCUCUCCAAAGCUUUUUCCUUUCUUUUGCAGUCUUCACAGCUUCUGGUUGUUUUGGUUACCUUCACAGUGAUCAGUUGCCUUAACAGAAGAGAAGUGGCUACGAAAUUCACAACUUGGACCGUUACUUCUCAUCGUUGAGAGUGUUCAAUGAAGAAGAUGUAGUUGAGAUGUAGCAUGGACUCUCUAAUAGCUGGUUUGCAUAAGUUCCUGACAUCGCCUCUAUUAAAGGCAUGGCUAAAUGAGCAAUUGAUUCACCUCAAGUCGUAUGAAGCAAGAGUUCGUGAACUAAAAGGUGUUGUCGAGAACCUCAAGAAUGUGAGAGAUGAAAUUCAGCACAAAGUGGAUGAGGAAGAAUUACGACGUGGAAGAGAAAUUCCUGUUGAAGAGAAAGAAUGGAUAGAACGGGUGGAAGAACUAAUUUCUGAAUAUGUGGAUUUCAUCAAGGACCCAGACCAUAAACUUGCGUUGUUUGACUUGUGGGAGAGUGGUUACCUUCCCAAACCGGGAAUAAGGUAUCGUCAAAGCAGAAAAGCAUAUGAUAUUACAAGGAAGGCCAAUGGUUUAUUGCAAAGGGCAAAUUUUGACACAUUUUCUUACUGGUCUGGUCCACCUUCCAUGG
This is a long non-coding RNA of Vigna radiata var. radiata (mung bean), 721 nucleotides long. RefSeq lists it as uncharacterized. The transcript has 3 exons. The record is from RefSeq and is a predicted model, not a curated record. NCBI's taxonomy places the organism in Eukaryota, Viridiplantae, Streptophyta, Magnoliopsida, Fabales, Fabaceae.